This 2120-nucleotide long non-coding RNA is filed under the name Ailuropoda melanoleuca (giant panda). RNAcentral describes it as "lncRNA (ENSAMEG00000028838.1)". Lineage: Eukaryota; Metazoa; Chordata; Mammalia; Carnivora; Ursidae. The record is from RNAcentral.
GUAAAAUGUGCUUCGUGUUAAAAGUACUGCGGGCAAUCUGAGGAUUGUUAACCAUGGAGCAAGUGUGCUCAGAUCCUUCCCGAAUGUGUUUUAUAGAAGUGACUUAGAGAAUUAAAUUUAUUCCCCAACAAAAAUGGAAAUCUUUCUGAAUGUAUUCGGCCGGUCUCACCCCACCCCCUUCUGGCUUUUGUAGACUGCACCUUUAAAGGAACGUGCAGAAAUACGAUAACCUGGAACUACAUAAAUUCAUUCCCUGAUUACGGUCGAGAUUCACACAAGGCAUGAAACUGAAAGGCAUAGGCAAGGCUGUACCUAGGCAAACGCACUGGAUAUUCUAGAAACCAUCCAGCACACUCCCUAAGGAAUAGGAUUCCGGAUAGUCUGCACAUGCCUUGCAACUUCUUAACCUUGCCUGGUUUAGAACUUGCUGCCGGUUCAGGAACGUCUCAGAACCGCAAUCAGACUACGCACAACGGAUUGCAGUCCUUUCCAGAAUCAAGGGCAGCAGCUGCUGAAAUGACCACUGUACCGAGUAAACUCCUAUUUUAUCCUGAAACUGGAAUCUCAGAGAAUGACAAAGAAAUGCAUGAAGCUGAUUGAUUCUUCCAGGCUCAUAUUUGGAAAGAGGAAAUACUGUGCAAUUCAUGAACUGCCUUAUAAAGAACUUUUUCCCUUUGUUGUCCAAGAUUUUUCCUGAGACUGGCAGGAAAGGAGGUUAAAAAUGUCCGCAAGUGGGUGGCGAGGGGUGGGGAACACAGGUGCAGAGGCAGAGCACAGAAGCAAAAUACGCGAAGGGAGACGUUCAUAGAACUUUUAAAUUCCAAAGGAUUUUACGUGUUUAAAUUAAUGUAUCGUAUAUAUUUACAACGUGGACAUCAAAGUGAAUAAGUGAGAAUGUGGGAGAUAAACUUAAAAGCUAUUUUUAUUAUUUAUGUAGUCCUUGCUUGUUGUAAAAAGUCUAACAGAAGGCUAUUAAAGCAAUAAAAGCUCCCCUCUCCUCACACCUGCUUCACUUACGGGACAACCACCAUUAAAGUUAUUUCGUAUCCUUCGAGACAAUAGGCACACACAUAACUUCUUUUUUGAAUGCCGGUGGGACUAUACUGCACAGAGAGUUCUCCAACUUGCUUUUUGUUCACUUAGUAAUUGACCUUCAAUCAUUAUCCACAUCAACACACAUGGGGCAACCACGCCUUUUAAAAAGGGAAAAAACCCACAAAGGUUUGUGUGGUCAUCCACUGUAUGGCUGUGUUAUAAUUCUGCCUGCGUUUCUGGAAAUUUUGGCUGUAUCCUGCUAACGGGGCCCAUGGAGAGCACUGCUCUGAACACCUUUAUACACAUUCUCUUGCCUACGUAAUCAAAUUUGUUUCAUGGGGGAACUCCUACAAGGAGCAUUGCUGGGUCAAGGAUAGUCGAUAUUUUAUAUUUUGGUAAAUAUGGCUAAAUUCCUCUUCUGGUGAGUCUCUCUCAUAGAGCACAAGAAUCUCUCUCCCCCAUUUUGGCUGCAGAAUUAAGUUUUGUUUGUAAUAAAUAGAUGAUUUCUAUUCUACUGUGUCCACAUAUUUGCAAGGUACAGGCAUUUUUUUUAUUUGGCCAAAGAGAAGAUGAUAAAGGGCAAGUAGUUUUGUUCAAGUACGAGCAUUGGAAAUUACUAUUAACAAAAUAAAUCCAAUACAAAUGUUAUUGAAUUAAUUCCAAAGGCACACGUAAAUGAUUUGAUUAAGGAAAUUCUUGCACAGCCUAGUAGGCUGGAUAAAGAGCGAUCAGCAGUUAUUAACAACUCAUUUACAAAUACAAGUUAUAAUUAGCUAGCUCUUGAUCUGGGGCUUAUUAUAUGCCAGGCACUAUUCUAGCUCUUUACACAGAUUUAUUUAAUCUUUGUGACGAUUCCGUGAGGUCGGCACUAUGAUUACCUUCAUUUCAUAGAUUAAAAAAAGGAGGCACAGAGGUCUCAAGUGAUAUGGCCAAGGUCAUGCAGCUAAUACAAUGACAGAGCCAGAAUUCAAAGCAGGCAUCCUGACUGCUGCCUCUGGGCCCUUAACCACCAUGCUGUAUUUGAAGUUCACGUUCAAGAAACAAGGACGCACUUUACAGUUCUCUACAAAACUUUUCAUCAUAAC